CCUGCCUACGGGGCGCAGCAGUGAGGAAUAUUGGUCAAUGGGCGGGAGCCUGAACCAGCCAAGCCGCGUGAAGGAAGAAGGCGCCAAGCGUCGUAAACUUCUUUUGUCGGGGAACAAAGGGCGCCACGUGUGGCGUUGUGAGUGUACCCGAAGAAAAAGCAUCGGCUAACUCCGUGCCAGCAGCCGCGGUAAUACGGAGGAUGCGAGCGUUAUCCGGAUUUAUUGGGCGUAAAGCGAGUGCAGGCGGUUCACUAAGUCUGAUGUGAAAGCCUUCG
RNAcentral lists this ribosomal RNA (275 nucleotides) under uncultured bacterium. RNAcentral's name for it is "partial 16S ribosomal RNA". It matches the Rfam family "Bacterial small subunit ribosomal RNA", at positions 331 to 606 of the family's 1533-position model. The record is from RNAcentral.